Molecule: ribosomal RNA, 493 nt
Filed under: uncultured bacterium
Lineage: Bacteria
Description: partial 16S ribosomal RNA
Rfam family: Bacterial small subunit ribosomal RNA
Source: RNAcentral
GACGAACGCUGGCGGCGUGCCUAAUACAUGCAAGUCGAACGCUGAAGGAGGAGCUUGCUUCUCUGGAUGAGUUGCGAACGGGUGAGUAACGCGUAGGUAACCUGCCUGGUAGCGGGGGAUAACUAUUGGAAACGAUAGCUAAUACCGCAUAAUAGUAGAUGUUGCAUGACAUUUGCUUAAAAGGUGCAAUUGCAUCACUACCAGAUGGACCUGCGUUGUAUUAGCUAGUUGGUGGGGUAACGGCUCACCAAGGCGACGAUACAUAGCCGACCUGAGAGGGUGAUCGGCCACACUGGGACUGAGACACGGCCCAGACUCCUACGGGAGGCAGCAGUAGGGAAUCUUCGGCAAUGGACGGAAGUCUGACCGAGCAACGCCGCGUGAGUGAAGAAGGUUUUCGGAUCGUAAAGCUCUGUUGUAAGAGAAGAACGAGUGUGAGAGUGGAAAGUUCACACUGUGACGGUAUCUUACCAGAAAGGGACGGCUAACUACG